GCGAGCGAGGCACACGCUCCGCCACGCUUCGCCAUCCCCACCCGCGCCUUGAGGCACCUUCGCGGCACCCGCUCGUUUGAUGGCCUUGUUUGGCAGUAAAGGGCUAGGCAGGGUAAACGUGACCGAGAUCUCGCGAAUCGGAUUCAUCCUCUGCGGCUUUUCGCAUUGCCUCUCGUCGAUGAUACCGAAUAUUCCGAUUAUCGACGCCCGUUCCCGAUAAUGAAACGUUUGCGAUGCGAACGAGUUUGCGUUCCUAUAUACACUGAAAUGAGCGAGAGGAGGAUUUCUUCCUGCAUGUGGUCCUCGCUCUGCAAAAUGCGCCUGCGUCCCGGAUUUCCCGGUCGCUCCUCGAUGCGGGGGUUCAUCGUCGAGAUCCUUUGUGAUCCCGACGAGGCGGCAUAUCCCAUGGGAUUAACCGAGGAAAUCGGUGCUGACGCCGGGCACGCGCUUCACGCUGCGAAAAUAACGGUAUAACCGCACACCUUAUGGCGACCAGAAAAGCGAAAGAGACGGGGGAUGAAGAGAGGAAAGGAAGAAAGAUUCCGCCGCGCCUCUUCGUAACAGAUCGUGUCAUCCGCAGGUGAACACUGACAUGAUGUUGGUGAAAAAGUAAGCACCGUUUCGCGAAUUUGUGGAAGAAGCACAGUACGAUAGAAAAUCUCGGGCCAGAUUUGGAACUUAUUUUUUUGUCAAUUUUUUUCAAAAAGUUAAAGAGAGAGAAGAUUAAA
This is a long non-coding RNA of Nylanderia fulva, 728 nucleotides long. RefSeq lists it as uncharacterized. Lineage: Eukaryota; Metazoa; Arthropoda; Insecta; Hymenoptera; Formicidae. The record is from RefSeq and is a predicted model, not a curated record.